CUUGUCCUCAUUUGUUAGUCGCUUUGGAUAAAAGCGUCUGCUAAAUGACUAAAU
Non-coding RNA from Danio rerio (zebrafish), 54 nucleotides. Lineage: Eukaryota; Metazoa; Chordata; Actinopteri; Cypriniformes; Danionidae. The record is from Rfam.